AAGGAUCAUUGUUGAACCUCU
This 21-nucleotide ribosomal RNA is filed under the name Urtica laetevirens. RNAcentral describes it as "partial 18S ribosomal RNA". The record is from RNAcentral. Lineage: Eukaryota; Viridiplantae; Streptophyta; Magnoliopsida; Rosales; Urticaceae.